CACUAAAUGACUGAAUUAUAGUGUAAAUCUUUUAAAUUUAUAAUAGUGUCCCACUUUUAGUGA
Molecule: transfer RNA, 63 nt
Filed under: Pseudocrangonyx joolaei
Lineage: Eukaryota; Metazoa; Arthropoda; Malacostraca; Amphipoda; Pseudocrangonyctidae
Description: tRNA-Lys
Source: RNAcentral